Molecule: ribosomal RNA, 465 nt
Filed under: Vreelandella stevensii
Lineage: Bacteria; Pseudomonadati; Pseudomonadota; Gammaproteobacteria; Oceanospirillales; Halomonadaceae
Description: partial 16S ribosomal RNA
Rfam family: Bacterial small subunit ribosomal RNA
Source: RNAcentral
CCUACGGGUGGCAGCAGUGGGGAAUAUUGGACAAUGGGCGAAAGCCUGAUCCAGCCAUGCCGCGUGUGUGAAGAAGGCCUUCGGGUUGUAAAGCACUUUCAGUGGGGAAGAAAGCCUUGGGGCUAAUACCCUCGAGGAAGGACAUCACCCACUGAAGAAGCACCGGCUAACUCCGUGCCAGCAGCCGCGGUAAUACGGAGGGUGCGAGCGUUAAUCGGAAUUACUGGGCGUAAAGCGCGCGUAGGCGGUCUGAUAAGCCGGUUGUGAAAGCCCCGGGCUCAACCUGGGAACGGCAUCCGGAACUGUCAGGCUAGAGUGCAGGAGAGGAAGGUAGAAUUCCCGGUGUAGCGGUGAAAUGCGUAGAGAUCGGGAGGAAUACCAGUGGCGAAGGCGGCCUUCUGGACUGACACUGACGCUGAGGUGCGAAAGCGUGGGUAGCAAACAGGAUUAGAUACCCCUGUAGUC